RNAcentral lists this long non-coding RNA (304 nucleotides) under Cricetulus griseus (Chinese hamster). Its description in RNAcentral is "lncRNA (ENSCGRG00015032815.1)". The record is from RNAcentral. Lineage: Eukaryota; Metazoa; Chordata; Mammalia; Rodentia; Cricetidae.
GUUUCUCUUUGCUUCUUGCUGUACAGACUACCACCGGCUGGCUGGUUCGCUCUAUAAAAAAUACAUCAAGAACACACUGAAGAAAUGGUUCAGUGCUUACGAGCUUGCUGGUCCUCCAGAGAACCCAAGUUAUAGUAUCAGCACGGCAAUCAGUGGCUCACAAUUGCCUCUAACUCCAGCUCCAGAGGAUGGAUCUUCUGGCCUCUGAAGGAACCUUCCAGGUCAAAGUCAUGAAUAUUCACCUUGUCAAGAUUCCGGUUAAGAGAUUUUCAUGAAGCCAACAAGCAGUGUUCCUCAGAGCCUC